AGAGUUUGAUCAUGGCUCAGGAUGAACGCUAGCUACAGGCUUAACACAUGCAAGUCGAGGGGAAACGACAUCGAAAGCUUGCUUUUGAUGGGCGUCGACCGGCGCACGGGUGAGUAACGCGUAUCCAACCUGCCCACCACUUGGGGAUAACCUUGCGAAAGUAAGACUAAUACCCAAUGACGUCUCUAGAAGACAUCUGAAGGAGAUUAAAGAUUUAUCGGUGAUGGAUGGGGAUGCGUCUGAUUAGCUUGUUGGCGGGGUAACGGGCCACCAAGGCGACGAUCAGUAGGGGUCUGAGAGGAAGGUCCCCCANAUUGGAACUGAGACACGGUCCAAACUCCUACGGAGGCCA
Molecule: ribosomal RNA, 352 nt
Filed under: uncultured bacterium
Lineage: Bacteria
Description: bacterial SSU rRNA
Rfam family: Bacterial small subunit ribosomal RNA
Source: RNAcentral